AACGAACGCUGGCGGCAUGCCUAACACAUGCAAGUCGAACGAGACCGUCCUGUCUAUGUGGGCACCUGGGCGUGACGCGUGGGAACUUACCCGUAAGUACCCUAUCACUCACCUUAGGGUAUCCUAAGACCACAGAGGCUAUUCGCGCAAAAGAGUUAUCGCGGUUGGGUGGGGGCUCGUUGGUUUCGCUGGUUGGUAGGGUAAAAGCCUGCCAAGGGCACGUUCCAUAGCUGGUCGGAGAGGAUGAUCUUCCACGCUGGGACUGAGACACGGCCCAGACUCCUACGGGAGGGAGCAGUGGGGAAUAUUGGACAAUGGGCGAAAGCGUGACAAAGCAAUGCCGCGUGAGUGAUGAAGGCGUUAGGGUUGUAAAGCUCUUUUACACGGGAUGAUAAUGACAGUACCGGGAGAAUAAGCACCGGCUAACUCCGUG
RNAcentral lists this ribosomal RNA (433 nucleotides) under uncultured bacterium. RNAcentral describes it as "partial 16S ribosomal RNA". It matches the Rfam family "Bacterial small subunit ribosomal RNA", at positions 29 to 507 of the family's 1533-position model. The record is from RNAcentral.